Molecule: long non-coding RNA, 2612 nt
Filed under: Marmota monax (woodchuck)
Lineage: Eukaryota; Metazoa; Chordata; Mammalia; Rodentia; Sciuridae
Source: RNAcentral
GCAAAAUUCACUAUUAAAGAUAGAUAAUUUUCGGGGUCUCAAAAAUAUUUUGAGGGAUCUUACAUAAGUCUUUGUACUGGGACCUCAUUUUGUAUACGUAGCAUUGAUUUCCCUGUGGAUUGGAACUGAUGGGGUUUUGGGAGCAGAAUAUCCUCUCAUGCAGAGUUUGCCAACCUUGGCACUGUUACCAUUUGGGGCUGGAUUAUCCUUUGUUGGGAAAGGGGUGCUCUCCUGUACAUUGUAGGAUAUUUAGCAGCUAUUCACUAGAUGCCAUUGGUAUCCUCUCAUUUAUGACAACCAAAAAUGUUUCCAGACGUUGCUUGUUCCAGGUAGGCAAUAUUUCCCCCAUUCCAGUGUUGAGAACUAUUGUACUAGAAUAAUUGCCUUCUGAAUUUUAUUAGUUGUACCUUUUCUCCCCAGAUGCCGAUUUUGCUUAACCUGGCCUGUAAAAGUGUGGUCUUUGAACUUACUUGAUAGGAGAUUGCCUCUCAAAUCGGGUUCCUGAGCUUAUCCUAGAUCUACUGAAUCAGAAACACUGGAGGUAGAAUCCAGAGAUGGGAUUUUUACAUAACAGUCCCCCUGCCCUUAAUCAGGUAAUUCUAUGCCCUAGGUUUGACCCUCCUGUGGCAUAACUGCUGCAUUACCCACAUUUUUUCCUACAAGUCUUCCUGGUGCUUCAGCUUUGCUUCCGCUCUUGGACUCAUGAUGCCAACACAAAUAGGGAGGCCUCAGGUAACCAGGACAACUGGAGCACAGGAAACCAUAAAGACUCAGCGCUCCCACAGGCAUCACGGAUGGUGGCUAUCCUGGCUUGCUUUCUCCUUAGGGACUCAGUCAGCCUUCUUACUUCCUAGCCUCAAAGUACCCAGACUGGAAGAUACCCAGGUCCAUACCACAGAUCCUGACUUCACAGACCUGGUAAUAGAAUAUGGAAUGGGCAGGGGCUGGGGAUGUGGCUCAGCACAUGCUUGGCAUGAAGUCAGGGUUUGAUCCCAAGAAAACAAACAAGACACAAAAGGAAUGGUGAGGGAAGCUUUUGUUCUAACAUUGAUAUUCCAUGUCACCUUGGUGAUAACUAAAUGGUGAAUUUUUUAUGGUAAGAAUUACAUUUCCCUGAGAGCUAGUUAGAUUACAAGUUUUGAAGUCAGGAUGUUUCCAUUUAUUUAUAUUAUUAAUACCUAUUUCAUUGGACCUUGAGUAUUGGAUGUUUUUCAUCCUCCUCACUAGAUGUUCAUAAUUUGUUUUGGGCCAGAAGAUUUAGAAAGGUACUAUUUUUUUUUUUGAUUGUGGUGCUAGGGAUCCAACCUAGGCCCUCAUGCAUGCAUGCCAGACAAGCACUCUACCAAUGGGUCACAACCCCAACUUAGUAAAAAGAAUUAAAAAAAAAAUUUUUUUUUAAUUUUUGUUAUUGAGGAUUGAACCGAGGGACACUUAACCACUGAGCCACAUUCUCAGCCAUUUUUAUUUUUUAUUUCAAGAUAGAGUGUCCUUAAGUUGCUUAGGGCCUUACUAAAUUGCUGAGGCUGCUUUUGAACUUGCAAUUUGAACUUCUUCAGUCUCUCAAGCCACUGGGAUUUUAUGUGUGUGCCACCACACCCAGCUCAGCAAUACACUUUUAAUACACUGGGAACAGGUAAGGUUUAGCCAGAAAAGAAUAGUUGCUAAAUAAUGAAUUUAGAUUUAAUUUACACUUCAUUAUCAAAGCUAAUCAUUUGUUUAAGGAAAAUCAUCUGGCUUGGUUAAGUCCUGAUAAAAUCAUGAAUAAAUGAAAAGCUACUUAGAUGCUUGAAAAUGUUAAAUUGACCACCUCCAUGGAGCAUUCAAGACAGAUUAAAGUAAGGGACCGAAAAGAUCCCUUAAAGUAAGGCAGAAUUGCUAAUUCUUUUCAAACAGUGGAAGGACUGUCAUGUGGGGGAGGGAUCACAUUUACUUGGUUUAACUCCAGAAGGUGGAAUGAAAACUUUUAUUUAGAUGACAGUAAUAGUGGACACAUUUUGGCUUGAUAAGGAUGAACUUUUGAAUAAUUUUAGGACCCCAAAUUGGAAUGAGAUAAAUUAUUAGGGAGUGAAUUAUUUGUGACCUCCAUACAUUCCUUAUGUAGAGGUUAGAUUACCAUUUGCACAAGUUUGGAUAAGGUUUUGGUCAUUAAAUUAGGUUUAACCUGUAAGGAGAAACAGGCAAAUUUAGCCAAAAUCAAUUCAUCUUUUUUUUAUUAUAUGAUUCUGUGGCAACUGUUCAAGUUAUUACUAUUUUUUUAGGCAUUUCUGCCAAGUUUACCCCCUGAGUCAUUCAACAUUAGAGUUGUAUAAAGGUCUUUAGAGACUUCUCAAACUUUGUUCCUUAGCCUUCAGGAUAUUCAUGGUCUCAGAAGUGGUUGAGAAGGGUGAAGUGAAAAUCUCUGGGCCCUUUACCUAUGCUUUAACCAGAAAAAUCUUGCUUUUAUUUGUUUUAAAAAUUAGAUUUCCUUCAAGAAGGAGGGCUGCUAAAAAAAAAAAAAGUGUAUUCAAGGGUGCUGGUAUUCUAAUAUCUUUAUUUAUGGAGGGAAAUUUAAGAUAUGGACCAGGGAAGUGUCACACAGCUAAUAAAAUUCACAAUCAAUUUUCAAAUCUAGC